Podarcis lilfordi (Lilford's wall lizard) is the source of this 73-nucleotide non-coding RNA. The record is from the annotation of a GenBank genome assembly. Lineage: Eukaryota; Metazoa; Chordata; Lepidosauria; Squamata; Lacertidae.
GCUGGGAUAGCUCAGUCGGAAGAACAGGAGACCCUUAGUCUCAGGGUUGUGGGUUUGAACCCCACGUUGGGCA